This 81-nucleotide transfer RNA is filed under the name Arthrobacter sulfonylureivorans. RNAcentral's name for it is "tRNA-Leu". It matches the Rfam family "tRNA". From Rfam's summary of the family: Transfer RNA (tRNA) molecules are approximately 80 nucleotides in length. Their secondary structure includes four short double-helical elements and three loops (D, anti-codon, and T loops). The record is from RNAcentral. Lineage: Bacteria; Bacillati; Actinomycetota; Actinomycetes; Micrococcales; Micrococcaceae. RNAcentral also lists the same sequence under 3 other names.
GCCCGAGUGGCGGAACGGCAGACGCACCGCACUCAAAAUGCGGCGGGGAAACUCGUGUGGGUUCGAAUCCCACCUCGGGCA